GUGAUCGCUGGUAUUUCGGCCUCAUGUCCUUCUCCCGGCUCUUUCUCCUCGCUGUCACUGUCGCUCUCCAAGGGGCAGUAGCUGCCACCCUGGAGCGCUUGGAAACGCAUCCGCAAAGAGAGCCUGGAACGCGGUCCUCGCCCCCUCAUCACAAGCCCACCCCCACCCCCACCCCCACCCCCGACGCGCUGGGCGACUCGAUGGGCACAUUGUUUUAUGGGCGGGGUUUCCUGCCUUCCAGCACAUUCUACAGCAGACAGGAACGCUGUCAAAACAGGUCCACCUUGUUCCCUAACUGGACUGAAAUUAUGCAUUAGUAGUGACAGUUCCCAUUAGACGCCUGUGGAUUUCCGUCUCCCCUUCCUAUCAAUCAGUCUCCCUCAUUAGCCGCAGAGUUUCCCAGCCCCAGCCCCGCGCGCUGCCCGGGGCCGAUGCAGGGGCCCUGCUCCGCCGCUGUCCCAAAGGGCGCAAGCUCGGCUCCUUGCGUCUAGCAGCCCUGAUGCGGCAGCAGGUGCCAGCCAUCCGCCCGCCUCCGGGCCACACGCGUGGUGCCCCAAACGACAGGCAUUUCCUAGAGAAUGGCCCUCUUUGCGGGAACCCUGGAGCUGAGGAGGGCCCCUGGGCCCCCACCCCCUUCCCAGGUCUUCCGAAGGGCUUCGCUCCCGCCCUUAAUGGUCCCAGCUUACUGGGAGGCUGCUUUGUCCAAGGCUGCCACCAUUCUUCUCCCUCUUCCUUUUCUGUCCUACCCAGAUCACCUAAACACAGAGGACAUGCGCAUCGGCACUCCCCCCGGGACCCCCUUGUGGUCACUCCCGAAAGGGACCGGGCUGAGAUGUCUAGAGGAAAUUGGAGUCAGCUCACUGAAUAUUUACUCACCCCCCACCAGCACCGCCGCCUUACAAAAUUAUUCAUUUGCACAAGUCAUUUAGUGCAAAUAACAUACGAAAAGGAACUAUAUGAACACCUGAAGAUGAUACGUGUUUUCAAGCCUGCCCGGCAUGUAAGCUGACAGGCCCCCACCCUUCUCUCUGCCUCCAUGAGCUUCCCAGGGCAAGACGGGGGGAGACCAGUGCUAACAGUUUCAGGAGCUUGAAGGUUGGAAAAUGGAACAUCUUUCCUUCCAAGCCCCGAGCUUCGGUCUUGUCUAAUUCAGACAGCGAGUCCCCCAAUUAGGAGGUUAAACCGGAGAUCGGACUCUGCCUAUAAAUUGCCAGAUGAAACCGCAUCAGUCUAGUGGCGGGUACCUGAGGGAUGACAUUAUUUUCUUCCACUUGUUCAGCCGAAAGAAAGAGGAAAUCCAGGCCAAUUUAAAAGUAACAACUUUCUGAAAGACAUUUUAUUUAUUUCGUGACCAGUCAAAAAUGAAAUGCGUUUUGUUUUUAGCCACCUGGCCCUUUGGGGGAAGUCGUGUUUUCUGAACAAAAUCUCAAAUCUGAAAGGAGGAAAAUGCUGUUUGAGGAGCCCACAUGUUUCCAGAGAGCCGGGGCCCUGCCGGAAAUUUCCGUGCCAGGUGUGUUUUGAUUUUGCAGAUGGGAAGGGGUCCUGGCUGGGACCUGAGCCGGGGUUCAGAAUUUCACCUCAAAGCGCAAUUCCAAAGCUGAAUUUGUCGGAUACCCAUUUUCUCGUUGGCUGCUGGGGGAGGGGGAGGGUGCUGGUGGCAGAGGGAUCCGUUCAAUGCCCCCGUCCCAAGGCCCAAGGCUCACCUGGAGCACAGGGCUGGGUGGCCGCUUCUGCUCCAGGCAGGGGGCUGGCACCAACUGCCGGGCGGGUGGGACUCCCGCGGGCUCCUCGCUGCGUGGCAGCGAUUUUCUUCUGCUUCACUUGGGUUGUCUCCCUCCUGGCGAUGGAGACGGAGAAGGCCAUUCCUCCCCCACCCAUCAAAACGCCCCCUUCGCCACUUUGUGCGUUUCCGGGCCUGCCUCCCCCCGCCCCCCGGACCUGAGGCAGAAGAGCUGCCUGGGUGCCCCCCACCACAUUCCCCUUAGUUAAGAGGGCCACACCCACCUUCAGCCCCACCCGGCGGCGUCUGGGGCACCCGUGUAGGUAGGGUCAAGUUCUAGAGGCCACACGGGGUCCGUGGGGGAGGAGAAGCAGGGCUGGCGCGCUCUCCUCCAGAAGGCAGGGCAGCACCACAGUGGGCUUUGCUGAACUCUGGUGACAGUCGGGCAGCUGAGGGUCUGGGGUUGGGGGUCUGGGGGGCCUCAGAGUGUUUGGGAGUUUGGACUUGCGCAAACGCAGCAAGACGGAGCGCAUGCACCCGUUGUGAUCCCCCCAGUGUUAUUUCAUUUUCAAAGUCGAUCAAAGUGAGUUCCCUCUUAGAACUUGGCCUCAUUCUAGGGAUGAUAUCCUUGAAGUUAUCCACUCGGUGGUCCACCUACCCCCACAGUGAUAGCGUGGAGGCCGCCCACUCGACGGUCUAGCUGCCCCGCCCCAAGCAUGCAGAUAAAUAAAGUAACCUUUAAGUGGAAAAUACUUAACUUGAGACCACCUAGAACUGUCCUGGGUACCAUUCAGGAUGCCCACGUAGUGCACUGCCAGACGGAGCAUGGUCCUGGCGUGGCAAAGUGGUGGGCGGCCCCUCUUGGCGGGGGACAGCUUGCACCAAGGCCCAGACCAAAGAAAGCCAAUGGCCUUUUGGGGGAACAAUGAGUUUAGCCAAAGCAGGAAGUCUGAGCCAUCAAGAGCUCAACGCAUCCCUGCCUCGUCUGAGAAUCACAUGAGGUGACGGAUCAUUUCAGGGGAAAAUCAUGUUCCCAUCGCGUUCAAGAGCCCUGCCUUUGUCUUCCAAGUGCGGAGAAUCAGCCUGCAAUCUGCCACCUCCAUCCACUGACUGACCCACACUGAGGCUCAUUAGAGCACCAUACCCUGAACAAUGGCACAGAGCUAGUUGAAGGCUCUUAUUCUUGGUGAGAUUCAAAAAUAAGAGAAAGAAAGAAAAGGAGGAAGUCUUCAUCAAAGAGAGAAAUGAGCGGCACGAUGGCAGAUCCUUUGGAAGGGCCAUGCUUGCCAGUGAAGAAUAAAAGCCGACGUAACUGCUUUGUGACGACCCGUCGGGACUUUUUCUCUUCCUCCUCAUGGCACCAAGGCCUCCCUCGAGGACCGCGCCAACAGCUCAGCACCCCUAGGUGGUCAAAAAAACUGCGCUUAAGAAAUCCCCCCCGAAGAGAACACCUGGGGAGCGGAUGGAGGGGUCUGUGGGUAACACGUCGUGUAGAGUUUUGCACCAAGAUUCAAGAUGAAUUGUCCCAAUCGUAUGCAAUUCACAUAGCAAGACAGGCCAAACCAGUGGCUCCAAAGGAAUUCUUUUCUCUUUCUCCCCAAAGAGCCUAAGCCUCCGGAACAUGAAAACUGAGUUGAAGCUCAACAGCUCGAUGACAGAACACCCAACCAACCACGGAAACUUUGUAUGGGGCUGGAUACUUGCAACGUGCCUGGAGACUGGCCAUGCCCGGGUGGGUGGGGUCUUGGGUGAGAAGCUGUGAUGGUGGGGGGACACUGGGCUCCGUGGCGCAUCUGAAUUCUGGAAUGCCAGCUGGACUCUGAGCUGAAUUUGGUCCCUCACAGCCCUGGGGUAUUGCCACCGACGUGACGUCUGGCCAAGAGAAAAGCUGGUCCCUUGGGCCUGCCCUUCCUCUGUGUAUACAGGUCCCUACUUCUGAAGAUCUCACUGCCCGACACAGUCCGCGGCCCCAAGAAAAUGACCAGGACCGGAUCCAAGACUUGGGAGGAAGCAGCCUCGGUUGGAGGGGCUGCAUGGUCCUGGCCAGCUGGACAGCCCCGGGCAGGUGGCCCACUCUGAGCUUCUGCUCAUCCUCUGCCGAGGGGAAGGGUGAAAUGAGAGGGUCUGAGGUUUCCAUGAUCUUUUUCAACAGUCAUGAUCCCUCGACUAAGGUUCCUUCGUGUCUAAUGCAGCCCCUGAAGCCUGCCAUCUUUAUCCCGAGCUUCCUGGUACCUGGAUGCUGAAGCUUUAACGGCCUCCAGAUCAGCUACCACGUAAAGGUGGUGAGAGCCCAGGAAGAGCCAGUGCUGGGUGAGCAGAGAGGUGAGGCACGCAGCGUCCCAUAGCACCCCACUUCCUUUUCUGGGGGUUCACAGGGUCCGUCCUUGUGGAUGGCUGCACAGGACACAGGGGAAACCAGGAGUCCUGUGGCCAGUGCCUGGGGUGUGGCCCCCGCUCGGGAUGGGAAGAGCGGGUCUCGUUUGGGCAAACCCUGCUCUGCUUCCUGCUGUGCCCCUUCCUGCCGGAGCACUGAUUUUCAGGGUGACCUGGGAGGUGAGGACCCUCCCUGCAGCCUCAGCCCCCCGCUUCCCGCUCCCCUGCAGUGACUCAGAAAGCCGCCCGGAGGAAGUGGCAGAAACAGCCGACGGGGGACCACAGGGCUUGAGACCCUCGCACGCCGGCCUCACUGAGAAACCUAUGAGCCCAGGGGCCCGGGCCUUGCUUGUGAAAUACGAGCGCUGUGGCCUCAGGUAUUUUUCUGGACGGAGAGAGGAGGAGAAGCCAAACCCAGGAUGUCACUCGGAGGCAAGAGUUAAAAUGAACACGUUUCUGCCUUCCCUUCCUUCUUAAAAGGAAGCCGCUGACAGCUCCAGUCGGGCAGAACCCAGGGCUCCUCCCUCUUUAAACAGGCCUGGAGCCCGGAGUCAGCCGUGUGGCUGGAGUUUCCCAAAGUCCGCGGAAGUGCUGUUGGCACCGGCUGGGAAUCGCCCCAAAGCCAGGGGCCGAGAACGGGGAGGGUGCUGCUGCCCUGGACUUGACAUUGGGCCUCAGGUCAAUGUCUCUGCUUUUCAUCUGGUCCCUGCAUUUUCUCGGAGAGAAGGGCGGUCUCCUAAUUUCCUCCGGGCCUUUCCUCAGUGUUCCUUGCAGUGACCUGGCAAAAGCAUCCCGGGCAGCUCAAGACCUUGGACUGGAUGCUGAGGCUAAAUAAUAGCCAUCACAGUAGUAACGAUAAUACGAGAGCUGUCAUGCGCCAUUUAAGAGCAGCUGGGGACAGCGGAACUCGACGGGGCCUCCGAGGAUGGGGGAACUGGGCUGGGUCCUCUCAGGGUGAGCUGCGAAGCGCGUGGCUUGGCGGAAUGUCUUGGCGUCUGCCCCCCUGCUUCCGCUGGGCUCACACAAACACACACACGCGCCCGAGUACAGAGAGCUUGACGGCCGAGCGAACUGUUACCUGAGUGGGGGUGGGGUGACCAUUGUGCCCAUCUUACAGCCCCCCCGUGCGUUCCGUCUUAUUUUCCUAACAAAACCAGCCGAGCAGGAUGUGCCCUGGCUGCACUGAGCUGAGGACAUGCCAGGGGACUUACUAAUUGGUACCCUGGUACCGUGCAGAACACGCCAAGACUGUGGGCCAGCCAGCAGUGGGAGACAAGCGGGGGCUCCAGGUACACGCACGUGCCGACCUGCAAGACAGGAGGAGGUGGAAAGCCCGGCCAGGAUUUGUGUGCACCGUCCCAGGGUGGCCUCGCCAUUUAGUGGCAUCAUCUUUGGCCUCCACAGUCGUAACCUUGGGGGUGCUGCCUGCCCCCCAGAAGAGCAGCAUUGGCUGAACCUAAGAGACUGAGCGGCGAUGAGUGAUGGGGUGACCCUGGACAGGUCACUGCCUUUCCCUUUCCUCCUUCUGAGGGUUCCCGUUGCAAAGUCACCACGGCGUCUCCCAACACUCCUUCUCGCCCUUGUGAUCUGUGAUUUUUAGAGGGGAGACCCCUUGGCCGUUACAAGGAUGGAGUCCUGAGAUGUAUUACACUGACGGACACAGAGCCCCACCCACUCAGAGGCAGAAAGAUAAACUGGUGAUGCGGAUGUCACCAUUACAGCAAAAGCUAGUUUAUUCGACAGGCAAUUGCUCAGAAGUUUUCAGGUUGACAAGGACCAAUAUUCUGAGUCAUGACCUGAGGCUGAGACCCCGACCCCCAGAACCAAAAAUGCUCCAUGAUGCUGAGUGCAGUUCUAACGCAGAGCUGAGCUGGCAGCUGUGCCCGGGACCUGGCCAGGCGGACAAAGAAGCCGCGCUGGGGUCUGGAGACAGGGGUCCAAAAGUCUCCUAGACUGGCGAGUGGUACCAGACUGGCCUCUUCCGGUGCUUCUCUGUCUGCCUCUCUCAGGCGGAAAUCUGAAGUCCUGCCAACCCAAGGAGGGGCAGGACAUGCACCCAGUCAUCGCUGGAGGCCCCCUCCAGUUUCAGACCCAUGACUUUUCUCGCCCUCAAACUGCUGCUUGCUUCUGCUUGGUUCCGUGGUGCUCCCGUGCACCUGGACCUGCAAGAGCACACGGCCACCACGUCCCGGCACAAUGACCGCCAGCAUCAUCUUGCGUUCAGCCAGCUAGAUCAUACGCUGGGGCCCCAAGCGCAAAGCUCUCUGUUGCGUGGCCUCCCCUCUCCCUUCCGCUUGCCUUCGGUUCAGAGAUCUUCAACAUCAAAAGCGACACCAUCGAAAGUGACCCAUGCGGCACCUUGACGUCUCUCCACCUUGAGUAAACACGUCUUCGAAAAAGGCCUUGGAAGACGACUGUUGGUUUUGGCAGUGCCUUUUCGAGGGUAUUAAGACGGGCCAGGAAAACAGAGAGCAGCCUGGAAAGGAGGACUCUCCAUGCCGACAGGAAAGGUUUCACUGCAACCACCAGCGCCGAGUAGGCGACCAGGCGGUCCCGCGGCCGAAGGAUGAUCUUGGUGGGCGGCAGGCGGAGGGGGCUUCCCCGAAGCAUGAAGUAGCCAAAGGCUCCGAGGCACCCGGCACCCAGGAUGCGAAUCCGUGUCACCCCGCGGGAAACACCAGGCAGGGCACAAACCAGAAGGGGUACCGAAAACUCGCGACUUUCACCAUGUCCAGAGAGGAGCGGAAGACGAAAGGGGCGACGGCAAAGCAACAAUGGUGUCAUUUGACAGACACAAAGCGACCUCCCACAGGUCGUCUUAAAAUAGGAGGAUGCACAGAAGGCAGAGGAGGGAGAGGGAAAUGCCACGAGCGGGAGACCCUCGGAGACCUACGACCGUGCCCGAGAGACGGGAGGUCUUUCUCGAGUCGGGCUUAUCAAGGUUCAACUUGCAUUCAGCAAAAGCCCUCGUUUUAAGGGCGUAGUUCUUUGAGGUUGGACAAAGGCCUGCGGACCUGUAGCCACCACCCCAGCCAAAUACGGCAUCUUUGCCACCAUUCUGUUCCCCUUGGAGCCAGUCCCCUCCCCCAGCUCCAGGCGAUCAGGGAUCUGCUUUCUGUCGUUCUGUCCCUGUAGCUUUGUCUUUCCCAAAACAUCAUGUAAGCAGUACCAGGCAGCGUGUCACCUGUCGCGUGGUGCAUAAUGCUAUCGAGAGUCACCCACGUGAUCACACGUGUCAGGAACUCAAGCCUCUUCAAUCCCGAGUGACAGUUCAUGGCACAGAUGCACCACAGUGGAUCCGCUACCAGUUAACGGCCAUCUGGGUUGUGUCCAGGUUUUCGCAAUUAUAAGUGAAGCUGCCAUAAACCCUCGUGAGCAGGGGUUUGUGUGGAACUGAGUUUCAAUGGCACACAGUAAACGCGUGUUCAACAUUGUAAGAAACCACCGGAGCUCCCCCUGUGAUGCAACAGAAUCAGCGGCGUCUUGGGAGCCCUGGGAGGCAGGGCUGAUCCCUGGCCCAGCACCGCGGGUUAAGGAUCUGGUGAUGCUGCAGCUGCGCAACUGUGUCUCGGAUCUGAUCCCUGUCCCCGGAACUCCAU
Molecule: long non-coding RNA, 7692 nt
Filed under: Sus scrofa (pig)
Lineage: Eukaryota; Metazoa; Chordata; Mammalia; Artiodactyla; Suidae
Description: lncRNA (ENSSSCG00000052445.1)
Source: RNAcentral